AAGAACCCUUUUGGAACCCUUAUUUCUAAGAGUAUACUUUCCAAGCACUAGGGAUGGGGGAGUGUCUGCAGUUGAAUAAUGCAGGAUCCACUUUCUUAGAAAACACGCUAAGUCACUAUUUCAGCUUUACAGACAUAGGCUAGAACAGUGCCCUUGGGUUUGGAUAUGGUGUUUAGUGACUCAUUCCUUAACAUCACUAAGAAGCUGUCCAUAUUCAUGGCAGAGGUGGUGGGAAAGUGGAGAGUAAGAUGGACAUGAGGUUUGGUGCAUCAUCAGCAGUACUUCAGACUGUGGCAGACCAUAAUGGGGAAGAGGAAACUCAGUAGUAAGGCAAAGCUUUCGAAUUACCUGUUGAUCUACGUUCCAAACGUCACCUGUGACCAGGAGCUGUGGGUAUUGACUGGAAGACUGGCAUUGUGGAUACAGGCAGCCAAAAUAAGUUUCCCUCAUAGGGUGGCUGGGCUCAGCUUUAGGGAUAGGAUGAGGAGCUCAGAGUGGGCCACUCCUUCACACCAACAGGAGCCAACUAAGGUGUUUCUUGCAUUUGAUUAGGAUUCUUCCUGGGCAGUUACCUCCCUUUGGAGGUUUUCAGGGCACAGCCAACUGCACUGCCUGGCACUGCAUUGGGGCAGACCCAGAACUCACUGAAGGGAUUAUAUGACUUAUAUAUCUCUGGCCCUCCUUGGGAUCCCUCGGAGAAGGCCAAAAACUUUGCUGUAGAUAGAAACGUCUGGAAUACCCUGCUCAACCUGCUCCCAGAGCAACCUGACCCUGGAUAAACAAGCAAACACAGCACAAACACACAGCCAUAAACAGGACAGGCCUGAGGACACAUUGGCAGGCGCUUACAUCAUCUUCAGGUAGAACAAUUGUGGAUUGCUGGUGAGGCAGCAUCAAGAGGAGGACUGCUACGUAGCUUAACUGGUGAGGAGAGCUGACUAUGUGGUUGGAAUCGAACUGGACUCACUUCACGUUAGGCAAGAUAAUGUGUGUGUGAUUGCCUAAAGCAAAUUAAUGUGUUUAAUGGAAUGGCCAAUUACGAUAUCAUGUGAUAUAAUAUUUCACCCUUUUUCAGUGAUCUUUUCUCCCUCCAGUUUUCUUGUGCUCCUCACUGCCUGAUUUUCCCUUGUAUCCGGUUAAUUAG
Long non-coding RNA from Acanthopagrus latus (yellowfin seabream), 1144 nucleotides. RefSeq lists it as uncharacterized. The transcript has 3 exons. The record is from RefSeq and is a predicted model, not a curated record. NCBI's taxonomy places the organism in Eukaryota, Metazoa, Chordata, Actinopteri, Spariformes, Sparidae.